This 24-nucleotide microRNA is filed under the name Ananas comosus (pineapple). RNAcentral describes it as "microRNA s1076_c135a". The record is from RNAcentral. Lineage: Eukaryota; Viridiplantae; Streptophyta; Magnoliopsida; Poales; Bromeliaceae.
CCUCUUCCCCUUUUCUCGAUCUUA